GACGAACGCUGGCGGCGUGCUUAACACAUGCAAGUCGAACGGAAAGGCCCUGCUUUUGUGGUGUGCUCGAGUGGCGAACGCGUGAGUAACACGUGAGUAACCUGCCCUUGACUUUGGUAUAACUUCAGGAAACUGGGGCUAAUACCGGAUCGGAGCUCCUGCUGCAUGGUGGGGGUUGGAAAUUUUCGGCGGUUGGGGAUGGACUCGCGGCUUAUCAGCUUGUUGGUGGGGGAGUGGCUUACCAAGGCUUUGACGGGUAGCCGGCAUGAGAGGGUGACCGGCCACCUUGGGACUGAGAGACGGCGCAGACUCCUACGGGAGGCAGCGGUGGGGAAUAUUGCACAAUGGGAGGAAGCCUGAUGCAGAAACGCCGGGUGCGGGAUGACGGCCUUCGGGUUGUAAACCGCUUUCGCCUGUGACGAAGCGUGAGUGACGGUAAUGGGUAAAGAAGCACCGGCUAACUACGUG
RNAcentral lists this ribosomal RNA (468 nucleotides) under uncultured bacterium. RNAcentral's name for it is "partial 16S ribosomal RNA". It matches the Rfam family "Bacterial small subunit ribosomal RNA", at positions 28 to 507 of the family's 1533-position model. The record is from RNAcentral.